CGUAUCGUAUGUGAAGCUGGACAAACCAUUUUUUCCACUGCAAUUUAGGCCAAGAAUUUUCAUGUUAUUGGGAAAGAAGAAAGUAGUAAGUGACACAUUCAACUACAGAUCAAAUUCACCACAAGCUGUGUUACAGGUGCCACCGAUGGACUAGUGGUGACUACUCAUCAGGUGGCCAAUUUAGCCGUCCUGAUCAUGGUUAAGUCUAACGAAUUAGUUCUAGAAUAUCAUAAUUUAAAACGCAAGGCGAGUGAGUAGGAUAUGAGUGGGGGUGGGGUGUUUGCGCUCACGGGGCGGGAUGCGAGGGA
This is a long non-coding RNA of Vanessa atalanta (red admiral), 308 nucleotides long. RefSeq lists it as uncharacterized. The record is from RefSeq and is a predicted model, not a curated record. Lineage: Eukaryota; Metazoa; Arthropoda; Insecta; Lepidoptera; Nymphalidae. The transcript is spliced from 3 exons.